CAGCUCACUGCAGCCUCAAGCUCCCAGGCUCAAGCAAUCCUCCCACCUCAGCUGCCCAAGCAGCUGAGACUACAGAGGUGGGCUACCACACCUGGCUAAUGUUUUUUUGUAGAGACAGGGUCCCACUAUGUUGCCCAGGAUGGUCUUGAACUCCUUGCCCCCGGGCAAUAUUCCUGCCUCAGCCUCCCAAAGUGUUGGGUUUACAGGUAUGAUCCACUGUGCCCAUCCUGGAUGCAGACUUUAAGCAGAGUCACAUCAACAAGAAGAGCUGUGAAGGUCAGGGCAUGACCCACAGAUGCCCAAACACUGCACUGGAGGUCCAGGAAGAUUCUGCUGACAACGCAACCCUGAGCCAAGAUCUGAAGGAUAAGAGGGAGCUUAUAACAUGGAAGAAGGAACAGUAUUCCUGGCAAGUGGAACAGCAUGUGCAAAGGUCAGGUGGUAAGAGGGGCUUCAAGGACAGUCCUAUGGCUGGAGCAGAGUGAUUGAGGGCAUGUGAAAUGAGAGGUGGCCAGGGUGGCAGGCAGGGACUAGCCCAAUGGCCGUGAAAGGGAUGGGACUUUGGUCACUGUUUCGCAUUUCCAGAUGUUUACUAUGUGCCAGGCUUGGUACUAAAUGCUUUUCUGGAAUAUCUCACUAGAUUCUCACAUAGAUGAAGGGCUUGAUCUUAGAGAGGUUAGAUCCCUCAGCCGAGAGCCCACAGUGAGGAAGCCAUGGGGCCUGUGUCCCUGACUGCAAGACCUGUGCUCAGAACGGCCAGGCCACACAGACCUCAACUCUCACUACAACCUCCUGAAGUCGGUGUGGUUACUCUUCCCACUUUACAGAUGAGGACAUGGGCCCAGAGAGGUUAUGUGAGUGACACAGCUUGAAGGUGGAGUUAAGCCUGGGCAGUCUGGCUUCAGAGUGUCCACAGUCUCAACCACUGCCUCACAUGGCUUCUUAGAAAAUAUUAUAAAAAGAAGCUCGGGCUGCCAUGUGGAAAAGAAUGGAGAGGGGACAAUGACACAGCUGGGAGCAUGCUGUGAUGGUGUACAGCGGACACAUUCAGGAUGAGGUGAAACAGGCUGGCCCUGGUGAGAGGCUAGAUGGGGCUGGGAUGAGGGUGGAGACAAGUAGUCUUGGGGUUGGCUUGGUGCAGCUGGGGGGUGCGGGGAGUGUCUCUGAGGUGAGGCCGGGGGUAUGGGAACGCCAUGUUUGGUCUGGGACACGGUGGGCUUGGGAUGGCUACAGGACAGUGCAGUGGAGAGUCAAAAAGGCUGCUCGGACCCAGGUCUGGCGAGAUGGAAGCUGGAGGUCAGGUGAGCUGUCUAGGAGAGGGACAGAGUGGGAAGGAGAGGGUCUCGACUCGGCUUUCUUGCCAAAGGAGGGUUCCGAAAUGAGAAACUGUGGAAUCUAAGCUGGAGAGGAAGAAAGACGGAGAAUGAGUGAACGCACACGUGUGGGACAGAUAGAUGAAUAUUCAUGUCUUUGGCUCCUAUGUACCUGAGUCUUCUAAAGCUGCAGGCCAUACUACCCCCGGGAGGCUGCAGGGAUGCCAGCUGGGAGAUGAAUGCAACUCUGCUGCCUGGGCAUGGGCCUGAGUGAGGGUGCAGACCCCUGCCUGUGAUCAUCAGGGAGGGUGAUGAGAACAAGGUGGCUGACAGGGUGAGGCCCAAGCCUGGAGCUUACCCAGGUGCGGGGAUGGGAGGGUCAGAGACCUUUGGGGGGUCUUAGGGAGCUUCCCCAGCCCUAAAGGCACCGCAAGCUGCCACUUCACACUGACCUGGGCAUACGCAGCUGCAGGAUCCCUUGCUCGCUCUCUCACAAGCAAAUGUAGACUGCGCAACCAUCCUGACCACAGAUCCAGAAAGCCCAGGACAUAACAGAGCCGCAGUGCCUGCCCUGAUCCACGCGCACACAGAUCUAGCCCAGGAACAAGCCCAUCCACGGAGUGAGCAGCUGACAGGGGAGCCACGAACAGCCUGGAGAGCUGAGCAUGGGCCUGCUCCACACUCCAGCGGGGCCCGAGGCCCCCGGGAACUCUACCCCUCCUGGCAGCCUCACAGAACCUGCUGCAUCCAUCUCAAAAGGCAUACCUCCUCCAGGAAGCCUUCCCCGCUGCUCAGAGGUCUUAAAUCCGGGGUCUGCACUCACAAACUGUGCAGCCUACACCAGCUUCUGGGGGACAGCAGAACACUGUGGGGGGCCUGGCACAGUCCCUGGCACACGGAAGGACAGGAACACCACGCAGAGAGUGUGAAUGCCUUGCUUCAUGCCUAACCCAGGGGCUGUCCUGGGUCUACCCCCCUGGUUGCUUUCCACCCAGAGACUCACCCACACCAGGGCGUACUUGAACUGGCUGGCGAGUGACCGGUGGAUGCGGUGGCACUGGAGGACAGGAGAGAGUCAGGUAGAGAGGUCUUCCAGGCCCUGGUGGGAGACCCAACACCUCAGCCCAGCGUCCCUGGGGCGGAGGCCGGCGCCAGGCCUGCAGGAACACUUCCUUGACACAGAUGGGAAGGUGGCUGACUCUGGUCUGCAGAUGGGUUUUGUUUUACUCAGCUUGCCCAGCAUUGCCACUUGAUACAGAUCCCAAGAAGAAAUGAGCUAGAGGAAAACAACACCAGGAAAGCAUCAGCCCAGGAGGACGGCCAUGUGACCUGAAGGUUGGCCACCAUCUGUGCCUGCAGGGUCAUGUUCAGGUGACAGAAUCCUGGACAGGGAAAGGCAGCCUCUUGCUCCCUGAGCCCAGACCACCUCCCCUGGGGCCUGUGCAUGCCUGCUCCCCUACCUGGGAUGCUCCCCACCCCAACUCUUCACUGCCAGACCCACUAGUCCUAUAAGCCGGCUCAGGUUGCCUCCUUGAAGCCGCUGUCCUGACCUCUGUGUUAAGCUGGUGCCACUCCCUACUCUCCUUGACUGAUGCCUGAAUGGCAUGGAAGCAGGGUUACUGGCAUCUCUGCAAAGCCAGGCAGCAUGCUGAGUGCCCUACACACUGGACCUCAUUCAACGUGUCCUCCUGACUAUCCAGGGGGCAGGCAGCACACCCCCCUCACAGUAGAGGUCAGAGCCUCGGCACAUGGCUAAGAAGGGGUGCUGCAGACGCAGCCCCAGGCUGUCCAACUCCAGAGCCUGCGUUGACAUCUGAGAGUGAGACCAGCAGAGCCCACCCCCAGCCCAGGGCACCUCAGGCAGAACAGAGCCCCAAAGGGCAUGCAGAGCUCCCACCCCUUGUCACGGCAGGUCUUGUCAACUCACCACGUGCUCCACUGAGGCCCCUUUCCGGAGAAUGAUGGCGUCUGUGAAGUCUGGCCUCUCUGCAGGGCAGGAUGGGGAGAACGUCAGCCACACAUCAGGGCCCACACUGCCAUCUUGUGAUUCUGCGCGAGGGAAGAGCUGGCCACAGAGGCCCUUUCGGUCUCCUUGCCUUGGCCUAACCUCCCCCUGACAUCCAGCACACCCUCCACAUAGAUCCCUGUACCAUCUUCUACGACCUUGAUCUUAACACAGUGACUCAAAAUAAAUCACGUCUAGGAUUCACAGUGCCUGCCACCCAUCUGCUGUGACAGCACUGACAGAGACCAGGACCUGGACUGAACGGGCAGGGCGCAAAGGGAU
This 3600-nucleotide long non-coding RNA is filed under the name Homo sapiens (human). RNAcentral describes it as "non-protein coding lnc-ATPAF2-2:4". The record is from RNAcentral. Lineage: Eukaryota; Metazoa; Chordata; Mammalia; Primates; Hominidae.